AUCUAAUUACAUAUACAGAGUUUACUCACAAUUUGGUCCCAAAGAACCAAAGAAAUCGAAUCCGGAGUGCCAAAUUAAAGGUUGAAAUUCCGCGGUUGUUGUCGGGGUUUUAUGGCGACAACACUAAACAAAGAAAGCAACGAUCAUGAUAGAAGGCGACGAAAGCAGCAAGGUAGUGUUGGACAUUAAUGGCUCCACCAGCGGUCUGCAGUUUGGCGGCGAGCUCCAGUUCCGGGAAACCAGAGCGUGACAGUGACGGAGCAAAGCAGGAGCAGCUCCGACGAGCCUCCUCCCUUCAACCCAACGGCAACACAGCUCUAGUUGGCACCAGUGGCAGCCUCCUUCCACGGCAAUGGCAGCAGAGGCGUCAACAGUGGUGGCCGUUGCUUCCUCCUCCUCGAGCUCCGGUGAGACUAGACAUCGAGCUCACCCCCUCUCUCCCUUCGUAGCUUUCUCUCUCUCUCUCUAUGCUGACGGCAACGGCAACACUCAACCCGCCGGUGUCAUCCCCACUUCAUCCUCUCUUUUUUUUUCUUUUUUCUUUCUUUCUCCUCCUCUGUUCUCCGUCUCAUUCUCUUCUCUUUUCGUUUCUUUUCCGAGUGUGUGGCGGGAGAGAGAGGGGUUUGUGCGCGUGUGGAUAGGGUUCAGAGAAGGGAGAAAAAUAUCAUGGACGCUUCCUUGCAAGCUGGAGCUGCUGGACCAAGACAGCCAUGAGCCAUGUCCAAGAACACUUGGUGAAGCUUAUUGAGACUCCUCUCUAUAUUAAUCACUGUCUUAUGCCUCUCUUCAAUCUCUUUGAUUGUGUCCAUGAUUGUUGUUCUCCCUUCUUUCUCAAAUUCUUUCUGCAACAAAGUUUAACCUUCCCAGUACAUUUAAGUUAUCAAAUUGUUUCUAUUCCAAUAUCAUAAUAACCAAAUAGUGAAACAAUUUUCAUUCGAGCUUCCUAAUAAUGAUUACAUGGACCAACUUGCUUCUUCCACUAAUAGGCAACAACAAUUCUUGGAUAAAGGACCUACAACACAAUUUACCAUCUUUCCAGAUUGCAAAAUUUCAGGUGAAGCACAGAAGCCUGAAGCAACAUUAUCUUUGCAGCCAUCAAUUGCUGACCCUCGGAACCCUUUUGAGCUUGGAUUCACUCAGCCUAUGAUAUAAAACUACAAAAUUCUCAAAAAAUAAAAGAAAUUCAUUCUUGUGGCUUAUGAUGCUGCCACUAAACAAGACAUCAGAUGAUGGACCAACUUACGUGACCAUGGAAUCAUAAGGCGUAGGCAGUCACGUGCUAAAGCUGUUCUUGCCAGUAAACUCCUAAAACGUUGCAAGCCAUAUAUGCAUGAAUCCGCCAUCUCCACGCGAUGCGACGGCUAAGAGGAUGUGGUGGCCGGUUCUUGAACACAGGAAACUCUGCCACCAACAAUGGAAACGGCAAGAGUGGAAGUGAAGCAAACAAAAAAGGACUUGGCCAUCAACUACAUUCUAGUGGUUCUUAGAAUUCUGAAGUCCUACAAUCCUCGGCCGGAACCUUGAAUUCGUUUAAGGAAAUAAAUGGAAGCAGUCCAAACAUUUCAUCAGAGGUGACAAGCAUGUACUCAUCAAGAGGAGGAACUGAUGGAUUUGCCAUCAAUCAUAUUGAAACUCCUAUGCACUCCUUUGCAGAUAUGAUGGACAUGGCAUGAUCAUGUCCCCGAAAUGGGUUUCGGCUGCGGCAGGAAACUGUUGCAACCUUAAUGUUUGAUCUGGCAAGGAUAUUAAGCGAGUUUUGGUGUAGCAUUGCACCAAAAUCCUCGUAUCCUUGUCAGGCCAGAUGGAAAAUGCUAUUUUCCUUUCUGGUGUUCAGGCAACUCAUCCUUGGCUCAAUUAUAUUCUCUAUCAAUUUUAAAAGUAUUUGUUACUUUAAAAAUUUUGCAUAUUAACAAUUCAGUGUAUCUGAAUACAAUUUGCAACAAGAUACAAUGAGUUAUUAAUAUAUCAAACUUCUAAAGUUACAGAUUUUUUGAAGUAGAUGGAGUAUAUAGUUAUAAUAUUAAAAUAUAAAUAGUAAUGUAAUUGUCUUUUUGCAGAGGCUUGAUAUUCUGAAGCAGAAAGACUAAUGAAUUAUGAUGUGUGUGUAUUGUGUUCAAAUAACGGCAUGAAUUUGUAGCGUUUUUAUGUGUGCGCUUUUCAUAAUCAUGUCUAGUUUUGGUGUUCUAUUUAUGAAUUUUUGACUUUGUCAAGUAAUG
This is an RNA transcript of Arachis stenosperma, 2216 nucleotides long. RefSeq lists it as uncharacterized. The record is from RefSeq and is a predicted model, not a curated record. The transcript has 5 exons. NCBI's taxonomy places the organism in Eukaryota, Viridiplantae, Streptophyta, Magnoliopsida, Fabales, Fabaceae.